This 618-nucleotide ribosomal RNA is filed under the name Lactococcus garvieae. Its description in RNAcentral is "bacterial SSU rRNA". It matches the Rfam family "Bacterial small subunit ribosomal RNA", at positions 66 to 680 of the family's 1533-position model. The record is from RNAcentral. Lineage: Bacteria; Bacillati; Bacillota; Bacilli; Lactobacillales; Streptococcaceae.
GCUUGCUAUUUUUAUGAAGAGCGGCGAACGGGUGAGUAACGCGUGGGAAAUCUGCCGAGUAGCGGGGGACAACGUUUGGAAACGAACGCUAAUACCGCAUAACAAUGAGAAUCGCAUGAUUCUUAUUUAAAAGAAGCAAUUGCUUCACUACUUGAUGAUCCCGCGUUGUAUUAGCUAGUUGGUAGUGUAAAGGACUACCAAGGCGAUGAUACAUAGCCGACCUGAGAGGGUGAUCGGCCACACUGGGACUGAGACACGGCCCAGACUCCUACGGGAGGCAGCAGUAGGGAAUCUUCGGCAAUGGGGGCAACCCUGACCGAGCAACGCCGCGUGAGUGAAGAAGGUUUUCGGAUCGUAAAACUCUGUUGUUAGAGAAGAACGUUAAGUAGAGUGGAAAAUUACUUAAGUGACGGUAUCUAACCAGAAAGGGACGGCUAACUACGUGCCAGCAGCCGCGGUAAUACGUAGGUCCCAAGCGUUGUCCGGAUUUAUUGGGCGUAAAGCGAGCGCAGGUGGUUUCUUAAGUCUGAUGUAAAAGGCAGUGGCUCAACCAUUGUGUGCAUUGGAAACUGGGAGACUUGAGUGCAGGAGAGGAGAGUGGAAUUCCAUGGGUUAGCG